RNAcentral lists this ribosomal RNA (1359 nucleotides) under Coralliophila squamulosa. RNAcentral describes it as "large subunit ribosomal RNA". The stretch from base 643 to 1359 matches the Rfam family "Archaeal large subunit ribosomal RNA", at positions 1423 to 2839 of the family's 2987-position model. The record is from RNAcentral. Lineage: Eukaryota; Metazoa; Mollusca; Gastropoda; Neogastropoda; Muricidae.
UGCAUUAUUAAAUAUAAAAAGAACAUAGAAUUAAAUUUAAAACAUUUAUAAAAUUAGUAAAGGUGAUUAAAAGUUGUUUUUUAUAUUUUAUAUAGUACUGAGAAGGAAUACGUUAAAUUAUAGUAAAGAAGAAAUAAAGUUUUGUACCUUUUGCAUCAUGGUCUAGCUAGAUUUUAUUAUUAUAAAAUAAUUCUAGAAAUCUAAUGGGCUAUUUUUAACCAGUGCUAUUAGGCUGAAAAGAGUAGUUGUGGAAAAAACUUUCUUAGAGUUAAAAAUAGAAAUGAAAUUUUAUUCGUAUUAGAUGAUAGCUAGUUUUUUACUAAAAAUAUAUAAGUAUCGAAGAUUAUAUCUUAAGUUAUAAAUUAAAUUUAUAAUUCUUAAAUAUUAAUUUAUUUAAAUUUUUGAGGAUAAGCUCGAAAAUGGUUUUACUCUUGUAUUUGAUAUUUUAGCUUAAAUUUAAGCCUGAAAAUAGCUAUAAUUUUUGAUUUUGUUAUAAUUUCAUUAAAAUUUUAAAUAUAUAAUAAAUUUACUAUUACUGAGUAAAAAAAAUUUUUUAAUUAAAAAUUAAGUUAAUUUUAUGCUAGAAUGAGUAUUAUUAAAAAUAUAUUAUUUAAUAAAACAAGAAAAAUAAACUUUGUAAUUUAUUUUAAUAUAAAAUUAUAAAAAGGAACUCGGCAAAUAUUUAUUCUGCCUGUUUAUCAAAAACAUGGCUCUCUGUAGGACUAUAAAUAGAGAGUCGGACCUGCCCGGUGAAGCAUUUUUAACGGCCGCGGUACUCUGACCGUGCAAAGGUAGCAUAAUCAUUUGCCUUAUAAUUGAAGGCUUGUAUGAAUGGUUUGACAAGAAUAGAUCUGUCUCUUUAUAAUUAACUAAAAUUUUAUUUAUAGGUGAAGAAGCCUAUAUUAAAUUGAAAGACAAGAAGACCCUAUCGAGCUUUAAAGUAAUUAAUAAAACUAAAAUCAUAUAUAUAUUGAAUUAGUUAUUAAAAAUUUUAGUUGGGGCGACUAAGGAACAAACAAAGCUUCCUUGAAAUUUUAAUACUUGCAGGUUGUGAUCCAAAUGCUUUGAUUAAAGAAAUUAGUUACCGUAGGGAUAACAGCAUUAUCUUUUUUAAGAGCUCAAAUCGAAAAAAAGCUUUGUGACCUCGAUGUUGGACCAGAAUGUCCUAAAGAUGUAGCCGUCUUUAAGGGUUGGUCUGUUCGACCAUUAAAAUUCUACGUGAUCUGAGUUCAGACCGGCGUGAGCCAGGUCAGUUUCUAUCUUCAAUUUUUAAUGUGGACUUAGUACGAAAGGAUUAGUCUAUAAUAAAAAUUAUUAUGUUUGAUAAAGUAUAAAGUAAAAUUUAGUAAUUUAAUAUCA